Molecule: ribosomal RNA, 390 nt
Filed under: uncultured Cercozoa
Lineage: Eukaryota; Cercozoa
Description: bacterial SSU rRNA
Rfam family: Eukaryotic small subunit ribosomal RNA
Source: RNAcentral
AGCUCCAAUAGCGUAUAUUAAAGUUGCUGCAGUUAAAAAGCUCGUAGUUGGAUUUCUGGUGUGUUGUCACUAGCUGUUAACGGUUACGUUAGCGUGUCUUGUGAUUCGAUCUACCAUCAUUUGGUGCGUUCCGGUGUGAUUCAUCGCGUCGGAUCAAAGCGUGCCAAUCUUUUACUUUGAAAAAAUUAGAGUGUUUAAAGCAGGCUUUUGCUGUGAAUACAUUAGCAUGGAAUAAUAAUUUAGGACUUUUGUUCUAUUUUGUUGGUUUCUAGAAUGAAAGUAAUGAUUGAUAGGGAUAGUUGGGGGUGCUAGUAUUGCGUGGCCAGAGGUGAAAUUCUUGGAUUCACGCAAGACUAACUUAUGCGAAAGCAUUCACCAAGGAUAUCUUCU